This 258-nucleotide ribosomal RNA is filed under the name uncultured bacterium. Its description in RNAcentral is "partial 16S ribosomal RNA". It matches the Rfam family "Bacterial small subunit ribosomal RNA", at positions 793 to 1050 of the family's 1533-position model. The record is from RNAcentral.
GUCCUUGCCGUAAACGAUGCAUACUUGGUGUAGUUGGACUCAACCCCGACUGUGCCGUAGCUAACGUGUUAAGUAUGCCACCUGGGGAUUACGCCCGCAAGGGUGAAACUCAAAAGAAUUGACGGGGGCCCGCACAAGCAGUGGAGCAUGUGGUUUAAUUCGAUGCAACGCGAAGAACCUUACCUAGGCUUGACAUGUAGAGGACAGCUUUAGAGAUAGAGUCUCCCGCAAGGGUCUCUACACAGGUGCUGCAUGGCU